This 21-nucleotide microRNA is filed under the name Eisenia fetida (common brandling worm). RNAcentral's name for it is "Efe-Mir-2707-v2_5p* (star (passenger))". Lineage: Eukaryota; Metazoa; Annelida; Clitellata; Crassiclitellata; Lumbricidae. The record is from RNAcentral.
UGUCAAGCAGAUUAAGUAUUG